Long non-coding RNA from Peromyscus maniculatus bairdii (prairie deer mouse), 474 nucleotides. RefSeq lists it as uncharacterized. NCBI's taxonomy places the organism in Eukaryota, Metazoa, Chordata, Mammalia, Rodentia, Cricetidae. The record is from RefSeq and is a predicted model, not a curated record.
AUUCCAAGCACUGCAAUGUCCCCAAUUUCUCGGAACCCUCACAUCACCCCUGAGUUUCUUCCAACAAAUUCAGAGAGACCGCCUCCUCUCCAAGUGUUUGGCAGUAUUUCCCAAGAACACCACCAGCAGAUAUUUCUAGUCUGCACCUCGGGGAAGGGCGUGGCGGCUCAGCCUCCACCAGAGAGGAGGGGGCAAUAAUUGGAUUGGAUCGCUCCAGAAACCCAUCAGCUGCUCUUCUCUGGGGACAGGGGCUUGUGCGGGAGGCUGCAGACGGUCUUUGUGAUAGGUCUCAGCCCCUCUCGCUCUGCUGCCCUGCCCUGACCUGGUGUGGCUGGGCCUGGUCGGCCUUCCCUGGUCUGGGACGCAGCGCAAGCUCCCUAUAGGCCAGAAGAAGCAGGCGUCCACCAUGUAAUCAGCAGAAUGGAAUUCGGCUCUGAUGGACAAUGUGGGUGAUGGGUGGGGAGAUCUGACCGG